UUCUCCGGACUCUACACCCUCCUGCCUUGGGGCCUCCCCAAGGGGCAGGGGUUUCGGUUGAAGCGCAGGGAGGGCGGCACGGAGCCGGCUUCGUCCCGGGUCGGCAUCUCCGGGCUCCCAGCCCCGCUCCAGCCCCAGGCGGGCAGCGCGGAGCCGGCUUGGGUGCCCGCCCGGGUCUCCCCGCCGCAAUGCGCCCACGCGGCCACAGGAGGGCAGCCCCGAGCAGCCGGUUUGUCUUCCCUCCGCGGCGCCGCUCCUCGUGGCUGCAGUGCUGGGAGCGCACCACAGGAGGGCAGCACUGAGCCAGGUUUCCUCCAUGCUGGGUGCGGUUGCCCCAUGAUACGUGUGAUACCCGCACUAACGACACACACUCGUGCGCGGAGCUGUGCAAGGGUGAGAGAUGAACACCUACAUCACUAUCGCCAUGGACAGAGACAGAGAGAUAUCAUUGUGUUAAUGAUGGUGUUUAUUACACACCCACACACACUAUCUGCAUAUCAGUAUCUGCACACAGCCGUACUGGAUACACCUCUGUACCAUGUAAGUUUUCCAAAGUACGCACGCACUGAAUAACGUCCCUUCAGCUCCCUGUUCUCACUUUUAAAAUAUUUUUGUGUAUCUGAUAUGCUACAUUAAUCAGAUGUCUCUACUUAAUAUCAAACACAUUUUUGUGACAUGGGUAGAUCUGGCUGAAAGCCUGCGGACAUUACAUUAAGCAGGCAAGGGGGGCAGGACCACAGCUGGACUUACAGAACUCACAAAAACCUGGAGGCAACUGGGGAGCCACACAGUCCUCCUCCUUCUUGCAACAAUGCAAUGCAGCUUUCCCAUCGCAGGGACCCAGCCCUUAGAGAAAAAGCCCGCACCCUAUUAGAAACAGCAAGACUUGUACUAAAGGCAGUCAGAUAAGAUCUGAAACACCUGAACUAAAAAAAACCCACCAAGGAACUCAUAAAUCUCCAGAGCAUUUUAUUUUUAUUGGGACCAUUUUUUCUUUUGAGACGAGGGACAGCUGAACUUCGACAAAUUAUACCAAAGCACCAUAACUUUACUGGGCCUUUUUUUUUCAGUUCCUCAAAGAAAUCAGGACUGAUGUCCUAUAGUGCAUUAAUCAUUGUAUACUAGGAACCAUGUGUUGCACACUCCUUUACCACUGGUCCAUCAGAAGGGGAAAUAUUUGCAUUGCACAAGUAAGAACACAGAUUGGAUUGGCAGCCACAAUGAAAAAGUUCAUCCUUCAGCCAGCUCGCAACAGGAAAGGCCCACGGCCAAAUCUUCUCAGCGUAGAAAGGCACCAGCCACAAGGUGAAGUUUCUUAGACCGUUUAUUAUUUGACUGUGCGCAUCUCAGGCCCUCUUGCUCCUACCGUUUUCAUGCUGAGCACACCAACUCCCUUUAGGAUCCUUUGGGCACAGGAUGAAUCCUUCAUCCUCAUGGGUCAUGGAGCUGAACAUUAAAUGCUUUCAAACACCCAUAGAGCCUUAACUACCAGACACAAACAAACUGCACCACAAACAGCCUGAAAUUGGCCCCGCAACCUACAGCCUAAGCAAGCUACAGCCAAGCCACAAACAGAACCGAGCACAAACCUACAUUUCUACGCUGACACCGAGAACGGCUCAACAACCCAACCAAGGAAAACCUACACACUGCCUUCAACCGCAUCUGUUCUGAUCCACUGCUUAACAAUCCCAGCCAUGCAACCUGCAAAACCCUUCACUGCUGCAUAUCAAAAUGCACAACUAGCACAAAGCCUCAACCUCCCUGCACAAAAUCGGGGCCAAACCAAGACUGAGUGCACGGUGCAACUAGAAGUGUGUGGCUGCUUGCCCCUAGCAGUUACCCAUGUAUGACAACAGCAGGACCUAAGACACGAAUCCUCUGUGUGUGGCUGCCCCAGUGCUCCCAGCUUCCACAAGGUGCUAAAUACAAGGUUGACAACUUGGGGAUGCAACUUGCAGAGAGAACAGACACCGUGUCCAAACUCUCUUACCUUUCAGUCCUGCUGGGCGGGCAGGGGUUUCUUCCCUCCAUAUUGGCUAAUGCCUGCCCAUCUGCUGUCUUGUCUGCUUCUCCUUCUGAGGGUUAAAAAACAGACAGACACUGGAUUUAAGUCAGCAUGUCAGAGGACGAGACUAUAGGCCCCAACUUCUACCCCUCUUUUACUCUCACCUGGACCCAUGAUCACUCUCCCCACGGAAAGCAGGGAGGGCAGAGAUAUGCAGGUUCGGCUGCCGACAUCCAGGCCAGCCAAAAGUUGAGUGCAACUGUCCAGGACUCUGGACAGAACUGCUAGGGUGGCACCAUGAACGUUGACCACAAACACCGGAAACCCUGCUUACAGGGCAGUGCUCCCUGCACACAGCUGGCAGCUGGGGCAUGAAGCCCAGACACAACCUGCAAAGUCCUGAAUGCCAGCUGACAGGUGCCCCAGGCGGUCUUGAUCAGGGGUCGAAGCUGCCCCGUGGACAGAAGGGCCAGACAGGACAGAGGGGCCAUAAUUUCAGUCUCCCGCCACGGAAGCCACAGAGCCCAAAGGGCUAAAGGAAGCCUCCUCCCCCACGGUCAGAGGGGUGGGGGUGCAGCCCUGUUUACAGCGUGCAGGGGGGCAUCUCAUAGUGCCAGGAGCAGCAGAACAGAGGAGCAAAGGACUGGACCUGAGUUACAGGAAGGUCACUAAGGCUUGGGGUCCCAAUGCAUUCAGGAUCCUCCAGAAGCCUGCAACCUCCCAUGUAGUCUGUGGGUAUCCUCUCUGGCCAACCUCAACAAGUGGAACGAGACCCAACCCAACCCUAAUCAGGGGGCCCUGGACCCUGCUUAAAGGCUGCAGUCUGGGGGCGGGUGCGCAGAACGGCUGGCCUAGGGCAGGGCACUCGUCUCCAGGGCCUCGGGCAGGGAAUACAGUGCCUGCCCCGAGAAGGAGGGCAGGAACCCCGCAUGCGAGGUACCGAGUGGCCGAAAAAACAUGCCAGCGUCCCAAUAAGAGGGGGUCUCCCCGCCGCAAUGCCCGGCGCGGCCACAGGGGGGCGGCUCUGAGCAGGGAUUUGUCUUCACCUUCACCUGCUGCGGCAAUGCCGGGACGCGGCCACCGGAGGGCAGCAUCGAGCACCGAUUCGCCUCCCCUCCGCGGCGCCGCUCCUCGUGGCUGCAGUGCUGGGAGCGCACCACACGAGGGCAGCACUGAGCCGGAGUUCGUGAGGGGAGUGGCGACGCCCGGGGCCGCUUAGUGCGCAGGCGGAGCCGGCGGGGACGUGCCGCGGGGGAGGAGCGGCCCCGGCCCCGGCCCCGGCCCCGCACACGGGCGCGUCCUUCCCUCGCGGCGGCGGCGGCGGCAACAGGAGCGGCCGCGUUGUAUCUCUGUGUCUGUAUGUGGAACCUCAUUUGGAGACAACGACAAAAGUCUAAAUUUGAGGCCCUCCGUGGCUGAGAGGCCCUGGCCAAAUGGCCCUCCUGGCCCCCCAUGUGAUAGGCCCUGCUGAUGGUGUUGGGUGCCUAAGCGCGGGACGUGGAAGAGCCCCGAUUUGCAGAAAACGUGGAAAACCCUGCACCCGUGAGACGACUAUCACAGCUCUUCAGGGUGCUUAAUGGCAGGCACUCAAACCCACUGGCUCUCGGGGAAAGCUCUGCCCCUGCCCCUGCCCCCGGUGCAAAGAUGAAGAUGAAGACAUGAACUUCCCGGUGAGAGCACAAGCGACAGGCAGGGGAGCGCAGGGAGCAGAGCGGCUUGUGACCCACGGCUCCUCGGGGCUGCAGUGAACGGGGACACAGCAAGAGCACCCGUCACUGCCGGGGCUGCAGCUUGCACUGGGCCGAGCCCCUCGGAUCUGCGUUUGUGGGCACGAGGACGAGAGGCGCCUGCGAUGGGGCUUGGGCUUAAGAAGGCUCAACAGUUAACCUGAUGUGAACCAGCCAAAGGCAAGAGGAGACAUGUAUCUUAUAUCUACAUUAAUCAGAAACCUCUACUUAAUCAAACGUGUUUCUGUUUCAAUGCUUAAAAAAUAUUUAUUCCCUCCUUCCAGCCAAAUGCCCUGGAAAUGCACGACGUAUUUUCCCCAAUAUUUAAAAUAAGUAAUAGGUUUGAAAAUAUAAUUCACUGAUUAACCAUGGUCACAGAUGCCCAGGGGGGCUGGCCUCCCAGCACAGCCUCUUUGCACACAUAGCAAGCAGUGCCACCAAUUCACGAAGGGGCCCGAGGGCUGCAGCUAUGCUAGGCCUUGAACCCACCACCUUUGCCACCAUGGGUAGCACCCUUACCACCAUGAAAAAAGAAAAGGCUGAGAGAUCUUCCUGCUGUGGGCCCCUUGAGGUGCAACAGCCAAGCCCCCUCCCCACAAAAGGUGGAGAGACCUGGACCAGAACCCAGGACCUCAGCACUCUCUGUGGGAGGUCCAACACUGUGCACUACAGAAUAAAGAUGGCUGAAGCCCUCA
Alligator mississippiensis (American alligator) is the source of this 4430-nucleotide long non-coding RNA. RefSeq lists it as uncharacterized. NCBI's taxonomy places the organism in Eukaryota, Metazoa, Chordata, Crocodylia, Alligatoridae. The transcript has 2 exons. The record is from RefSeq and is a predicted model, not a curated record.